Molecule: long non-coding RNA, 14387 nt
Filed under: Vigna radiata
Lineage: Eukaryota; Viridiplantae; Streptophyta; Magnoliopsida; Fabales; Fabaceae
Description: long non-coding RNA (VRAD_LNC011301)
Source: RNAcentral
CGGAAUCAAGCAAGAGAGUUUAAACUAAUCACACUUCAUCAAACACUAAGUGACCCAGCUGUGCAUUCUUCGAUCUUCAAAUGCAAUAAUACGUAGAAAGCAAGUACUGAACAGGUAAGCUUACUUUGUCUUUUGGUUUUUAUCUUGAGUAAUUGUAAUGGUUGUAUUCAAACAAGGUCAUUUCACGGGGAAACCGUUUUCACUACUCAAUUUUGUUAGGGUACACAACUCCGAUUCCAAUUGAAAAUUGAAAGGUCAAAUAAAUUAAGAAUCGACUCCGCACAAAAUCAAAGCUUCACUAAAGAAAUGGAAGUAUGAUAUGUAGCAACUUAAUAAAUAUGACAGAACAUGAAAGGAUGGAACGAGAUAUUUUACGAACUCGUAGCGGUUAAAAACACUAUUUAUACACUGUCAUCUUCUCCCUACUAUCAUCGUAUGAAAAUGCUGGAUCACAAAACUAACCACACUAGAGCCAAAGCUUAACAUCUAAGAUAAGUGAUAACACAGAUCAAUACGGUUGAGAAUACAUUAAAUAUAUAUAUCACGUUCCAUGAUACAAGCUUUGACACCGGUACAUUGAACACUGACUUGUCUCUAUCUAAAAAAUUACCUAGGACUUUUAUAAUCAUCCAAUAAAAUAGUGAAUACUUAUAAUGCCCUUUUUCAGCGAAUUGGGUGAUAUUGCGUGAUACCACGCUUUGGUGGAAGCUUUCUCAAGAUGAAAAGGACCAAAGAAGAAGGCACUAUUUCCACCAACUGCAACAAAAAAUAGGAAAACAGUAAGAGGUAUUGCGGGAGAGAGACAUUUUCUACAAGUACCAGAAUGAGUAGAAUGUAAGUAGAGAAGGGUUCUAACAGUUCAGGUUUGAAAAAAUUUAGGCACAGGAUAUCUCAGCCUCACCACACAGCUUAAAGAAAAGGAAACCCGAAAAGAGUAUAAACGAGACAGCUAAAACAAUGACAAAUGGUAUAUAAGCAUUAAUAUAACAAUUAGAAACAUUAAGGAGCCAAUGGCUUCGGAGCCAAGUGGCAUCUAUGUAGGAGGAAGGGGAGGAGAUGAUGUUCAAAGUUGGGGUUCAAUCAAUCACCUCAAACACCAUUUUCCCACCUAUAUUUUCCUCCUAUCUUCCUUACCAAUUAAAAAAGAAACGGUAAGGAGUAUGGUGACAUAAAUACCACAAUAAAAGAAGUAAAGAACACGAAUAACUUACCAGGUAAUAUAUGAAGUUUAGAAUGGGGUGAUCAAGGACAUCAAGGUUCGCAUCUUUAUUAAAUGCAUUAAAGCACAUCUGAAACAACAAAAUAUAAUCAAACUCAACUUCGAAAGCAAGAAAACAGAAAUAACUAAGAAUUACAAAUAAAAAGGGGCUCUCACCAUAAUGCAUCUGACAAGGAAACAUAAAAAACAUAUGGUUGUCACAUAGCCAACCUACAAUAGAAGCAUCAUGUAGAUUGUCAGAAUAUAUCUAAAACAUUUUCAGAUUUUUUAUUGGAUAUGCAAUGUGUAUUUUAGGAGGAAACAUUAAAAAGUAGUUGUUAGUCAGAUUGUUAAGAUGAGUGAGUUUUUUUUUUUUAUAUAGUUAGGGGGUCCUUGUAUGCAGGGGACUUUUGGAUGCUUUGUAGAAUUGUUGACAGGAUCAUUGACAUCCCGUGUGAAGGAAACAUUGUCCCAUGGAUUCCUUAAUGCUGUACUUGUUCCCUAGAAUCAAUAAUACAAGGUCUAUUCAGUGAGUUUGGGAGUUUGCAUUUGUUUUCCUAGUUUCCUCUAUCUAGGAACCUAACAGAUUAUAUCCAUAAAAUAUCCAUCCAGUAUCAGGUCAUAUAGUUACUCAGUCUAUAUUAUGUCUUUCUCCUUUUCUUUUUCCCUCCCUCUCUCCUUUUUCACUGUAUAUGUCAGAUAAUUUAACCUGAUAUAUUAGUAUCGUCCAACAUGAAUUGAUCCUGGCAAUAGUUGGCCGUUAAGUUUAACAUCAGGGAAAGCCACCCAGCAGAGACUGGGCUCUGCAAAAAACGUGACAAGGAGUGGGGAAGAAAAGGAGACAACAUAAGGGAGGACAAGCACACAUAGCUACUGAAAAUAUGGAGGAAAACAGAGAAUUGAUUCAACCCAAUCGAGAUAAAAUAGAGAAAAUGAGAUUAUUUCUCAAAAAAAUUGAUAAACCAAUAGGUACUUUUAUUCUCUAACAUGUUCAGCAGUACAUUAGGAAAUUUUCCUUUUGCUGUUGGACUCAACGUCUCAGAUAGAUUUUACAAUAAAUUUUAGAUAUGGGCUUCCAAAAAAUAUUCACUAUUUACAGCAGAAUCAUAGGGAUCUUAUUACAAUAAGUGUUGUUAUUAUCUUUCCAAAUUUAGUUUCCCACUCUUGUCUUGCAUAUAUAUAUAUAUAUAUAUAUAUAUAUGAUGUACUCUUAGCAAUAAAGUUAUUCAAUUUUACCCUAAUAUUUGAGACCUUAUACUUAUAAACGUAAGGUUAUUAAUCAUAUUAAGACAUUUCAUAAGUAUAUUUCUUAAACUGAUUGAAAUUCAAAAUGUUUCAUCAUCAAAUUGCAUACCUCUUGCAGCUUCUUACGUCGCCCUUUGGAUUCAACGGGAAAGCGUUGUAGCAUUAAGAACAGUCUGGAAAACGUCAAAAAACGGGUUGCAGGAAUCAGAAAAGGAAGCAAGAAGGUAAUACAUAUAGUAUGCAAAAACAUAAGUGCACACUGACAAUUCAAAUUUCAAUUUAAAAGCAGAAGUUUAAAGUGCUAGAUUUAGUCGCUUUAUCUGGCUUAAAAAAAAAAUUAUUUUUUAAGCAAGAGGAAAUUUCAUUAGAGAACAAGACAUGGAAAAACAGGACGGUAAGUUACACAAGUAAACAGAGAAGCAAAUUCAUUUAGCAAGCCACUAUAGCUCAAAAAUAUCUUCUUUUAAGAAAACAUGGAUAGAUCACUAGAUAGCCAUAAUCUGAACAAGUAAAAACAAAACAAAUAGUCUUGAAAAAAUAUGCUCCUUAAAUAGGAAUUUCCAACUAGCAUUGAUCAGGGAGUUGGGUACAGUCACUAAGUAGCUUGGUAAAGGGAAAUGCCAUAAUCUAUUUCUCAUUUAUUACCAAAUUCCAAGACAGCCCAAACAUCCCUCUAUAGGAUUGUGAUGCAGGAACAUAACUCGCUGGUAAAAAUUAUGAUGACUUAACUGUUAACACACUCAACAAAAUAUAGGCUGGAAAUUUUCAAAAUCUCAGGGUAAUAUAAAAAAAGACCGCGACUAACUACACAAAAUCAGCAUCCAUCAACUUGUUAAGCUGGUUUCAUGUCUAUUUUCAAAAGAUCUGUCCCAGUUUCAAUAAUUUCUAGUUUGAAUAUAAAUUGCCGUACUGACUUUUCCUCUCUUCCCUCCCCUGCCAAAAACAACCCACAUACGAAACUGUUCUCACUUGAUUUUGCUCAGUAUAUUUGAUGAAAUGUGAAAGGAAAGUAAUCCUUGAUGAAACAAAAAAAUGUUUUCUUGCCCAAAGUUUACCUCAUUUGCCAAAAAGUCGAUUCUUCCUCAUCAACAGACCAAUACGGAAAUUUAAAGCUCAACAAAUAUUUUAUUUUGGACUGUGGCAACAAGAGAUCAACAAAAAUGAUUUGAUACCAAUUUGUUGGCAUCAAGUAAUUGAUGAUAUCAUUUUCCUGCCAGUUAAUUUCAAAGCCUUUGGUGAAAGUAAAGAGUCUCAUACUAUGCUGUAGUUAACUGAGAUGGUUUUAGUGAUAUGAGAAAAUCAUUGGAAGCCCAGGCAAUAAAAGCUUGAUCAGAUGGAGCAUAGUCAAAUAAUUAGAGACAGAAUAAUAUGGAGUAAAACUCUUGGUGAACCAAUUUAAAAGGACAAAUCUGAAAUAACAGUCUUCCUAAAUGGCAUAAUUUCAUCUGCCUAAACUAAAAAAAAAAAAAAAAAAAAAAAAAAAAAAAAAAAAACCUUUAGUUGUUUUUAACUAGUUAUUAUUGUAACUAGGGGAUAAGAGUGUUUAAGGGAAUAUCCACAUCCAUACAUUGCAAGAACACAGUAAAUAUCACAAGUAAAACAGUGCCUUUGAUAAGACAUCUGCUUACAGGGACUACAGCACGUAAGGAACCAGGAACCCCCACCUUUUAUCCAUCUUGAUGGAUAUCUUGGUUAUAUUUAUAUUUCUACCACCUCAUAGAACCAGGAAUCCCCACCUAUCAGAAAUCUUAGAGAAGAUCGGAUCCCAAAUAAAGAAAAUAUUUGUUAGAUAUCUCAUUACAACUAAGGAUAUGAUCAACUAAGGUUAGCAUAAACCUUACUUUACAAAUCAGUUUUGUAAGGUUGAGUAUGACUUAAAGUCUACUUUUUAAGAUGAUAUUAGAAUCUAUCCUAGUAAUGUUUGUUAAACCUAUCAUGUCAUCUGUUAUCGGACCUCCUUUUAUUCCCACACUCAAGAUGUUAAAUCCUCAACAUAAGAGUGUAUUGGAAAUCUCUCAUCAACUAUAAAUAUGGUCAAAUUCUAGUAUAUAAAAGAGUUAAAAUAUUACCUUAUAAGAUGGUUUUGUAAGGUUGAAAUAAACUUAAAAUUCUCUUUUUGAGAAGAAUCAAGACACAAAGCAACAGUUGAAUCUUGGAAUUGAAAAUAACUCACUUGCAAACAAGACCUCAAACAUGGUAAAGAUCAGUAUAUACUUCUGAAUUUGGAUAAAGAGCCCUACCCUACCCCACACCAAUAGCUUAUGAUGUUAAACUUUACAUGCUAUUGAGAAUUACAACACAAUUUUCACUACAAGAUUGGACCCUGAUCUCAAUACAGAUGGAUACCAAUAUACAAAGUAUGUAAAAAACCAAGACAUAUAAUUUUCAUUCUGCUACUUCAAUGAGUUGUUAUUCUACUUCAUUUUUCUCUUUAAAAACAAAAUUCCCAACUCAAUGGGGGCAUGUAGUAACUAAAACACAACAAUUUCAUGCCAAUCACAUCAAAGUGAGUCAGAUAUGAAUACAGAUAAGCUACCUUCCACCAUAGAGAAGAAAACCAAUGGCUGCAAACAAAGAGACCCCUAUUGCAACAUAUUUAUUACAUGCAUUAGUAAAAUCUGAUAAAAGUAACAAUCGAUAGAAAUGACAGAUCAAAUUCCAGUACAGACAAACCUGCAAAGAACAUCUUAGAAAGAAUGAGCAGUGCAUCGAUAGGUUUCCACCACAAUAUUAACCACAAAGUAAUCUGAUACAAAUUAGACCAAAAAUCAGUAGGGUCAAAUUCAUCAAACUCAAAACUAACAGAACCUAAAACUUUCAAUGCAUAUGAACUAAUGAGACAAAAGAUAGGUACAAUGAAUAGUAAAAGUUAAUUAACAUCAACUGAUACAAUACAACCCCUAAUAAAAUACCCAAGGUAUAUGUCAGGAGAGGAGAGGAAAAGGUGCAAUGCACCUGAUCAUAAUUAUGAGAGACUGGUCUAACUGUCAAGUGGGCAGUAGUGGCAGAAGGUGUGUAUGAAAUUUUUAAGCGAAAGUGAGGGUAUUCGGGAGGUGGCAAAGAAGUGGCAUAGGCUGGAAACUUAGGCUUGGGAAGGAGCUUGGACCUCAUGAAUCAGCCCAGAUUAUCAUUUCCCUUUACAUAUUUUCAUACCAGCAUUUAAUAGAACAAUCUGCCUCUGAUUCCAUUUCAUUGUUUCAUGGCAGCGAUCAGCUAUCACAAACAUCAUUUUGAGCACAUUAAAAGCAGAUGACAAAUAAAUGUUUUUUUAUUAAUCCCUCUAGGUCCACACAUCAAGCAAAGUUGUGAAGCCACAAUCAAUCACAACUAUGGACAAGUAAACCACUAGUGGACCACAAAACGAUGCACUAACACAACCUCCAAGAUUAUAAUCCUUGUAAAAAAGUUUUUAUCACCAGUUAGGUCCAACAAAAGAAACAAAUAAACCUUAUUGUUUUGACCAUUGUUGGCAAAGAAACCCUUCAACAUUCAUUGCAUGAUCAAACAAAGAGCCAGCAUAGGCAUCUGCCAACUCCAGAAAGGUAGAAAUAAGGCAAAAGGCAUUUGUUCAUGAUACGAACUCGGGUAUUUUAGAAUGCCUGUCUCACCUCAAGUAGUAUAAGAUACUCAAUUAUCCCUCCUUAACAGCUAGUUUUUAAGAGAGGGUUCCCACAGUGCUUGGAUGUUAUAAAUUAGUAUCAGAGCUGAUGGUUGAUAUCUCAAAAAGGGUUAUCUACAAUGGGUCCUAGUCAGUAGAGGGUUGUAAUCAACAAGAAAUUGAGUAAAUAGUAACAAAGUAAAGUAUCAUAUUUAGUGAGCCAUAAACAUGUUCAAAAGGGACCUGCUAUGGUAGAAACUUGGGUAUUAUGAGAUACCUAAGUCUCUUAUUGAUUAAUACAAGAUGUUCAGUACAGUAUAAGUUCUUGAUCAAGGUGAUUCUUAUAAUAGGGUGCACAAGAUGCUUCAUGAUAGUUUUCUAGUGAAAAUCUUGUAAAACUUUGAAUGUUAGUGGAUUGGUCUAAUCAAGGUGGUUAGACAACUGGGUAUAACUAUUGUUUAACUUGUUAGCUGGUGUGAUAACUCUAUUUACAUAUUUUCAUUACUAAUUGUUGAAAAUAGUGAAAACUAGGUAUAAGAUUAAUCUUCCUUGUGUAGAAAAUACAUACAAGAUAAUGUAAUGUAUAUUAAGGAAAAUAUAGGCUAAGCUCAAAUGCAAAUAAAUAUGUAAAACAACAUAAGACAUAAAUAUUUAACAUUCUCCCUCAAGUCGGUACAUAUAAAUUGUAUGUACCAAGCUUGUUAACAAUACAAUCAAUUCUAGGUCUUCGUGAAUGAUUGGUUCAAGGGAAAGGUUUACAUUAGAAGGAAAAUUGUAUGACAGACAGUUUGGAAACUCGAUGUAUUGCUUGAUUUUAGUUUACAGUUUAGCAAACGUGUUUCGUAUAGGUCUGCAUACCUAUCAGUAAAGUCGGGUUUAAGAAUGUUCAACUUCCACAUGUUCAAUUUGUUAGCAGGUGUGGUAACUCAAUAUUUACACUUAUAAACAUUUUCAUUACAAAUGGUUGAAUAUAGUGAAAACUAGGUAUAGGAUUAACUCCAAUAUCAUAUUAAGAAGUGGACUUUAAACCUAAUUCAAUCACAUAAAAUUGACUUGUAAGAUGAAGUUUGUACCCACUUAUAUAUAUUGUGAAUUGGUCUCAUCUCUAAUCAAUGUGGGACUUUCAACACACUCCCUCAGGCUAAGGUAUAUACACCUCAUGCAUGAGACUAGACAUUAAUAGGUCGUCCGAUAUUGAUUCGAUAAUGGGUAGAACAAUACCCAACAAAUAACAAAUUUUGCUAAAAUGGACUCUAACCCAUGGCUCUGAUACCAUGUUGAAUAUAGUGAAAAUUUGGCUGAGGGUUAAUCUCCCUUGUGUAGAAAAUACAUAGGGUAAUGUAUUUAUAAUAAAGAAAAUACGGGUUGAGUCCAAGUACAAAUAAAUAUAUAAAAUAACAUAAGACAAUAUAAAUAUCAAACAUUAAUAACAAAAAUUAUAAGAAUAUUGACUUCACUAUAUUCACUUUUAGUUUUAUUUUAGGUUUGACUGAAUUAUUAUUUGAUUACAUGGUGUACUAUAGUAAAAGACAUUUUACCGAAUUACAAAUUCGAACACUACACAUUAAACUUAAAAUGUACAAUUAAUACCAAGCUUAAACUUAAAAUGUACAAUCAGUACCAAGCUUAAACUUAAAAUGUACAAUUAGUAGCAAACUUAAUAAUAGUGUGUUUAUCUAAAAUAGUGAGUGAGUGAGGAAAGCUAGAGCCAAAAUAAAUGGCUUCUUCUAGGCCUUGCUUGAUUCACUUCUACAUAGAGCAGAAAGAGGAAACAGAGGAAGCUAGUUACAUGUCAAUGAAAUAAGGCAUGUUACCAAAUCUAGGGUGUCAACAUAGAGCAGGAAACACAAUUCGUCCAAAAUAUUUCAAGGUAAAAAUAUUUGAAUCUAGAUUGUUCUUAUUAAAUGCUUGUACAUUGUCACUUAGAAGCACAAAAAAUUAUUCUUCUUUUCUUCAUAUCUCUACAACCAUAACCAUGCAAUCAAUGAAAAUACUAUAUCCUAUAUUGGAUAUUGCAUAAAAUUGUCCUUCUACCGACCAUGUAGUGAGUCGUAGCCAAAGUCAAACAUCGUUCAAUAGUUGAUUACACAGAACCUAAGGGCUGUUUAUCUAAAAUAGUUAGUGAGCUUAACGUGAAGAAAGAUAGAGCCAAAAUAUCCUUAUAUUAACUAAAAUAUCAUUCUAUAUUGGAUAUUGCAUAAACUUUCCCUUUUAGCAAACAUGUAGUGAGUCACAACCAAAGUCAAUCAUCGCUUAAUAGUUAUUACAUACACAAACAUCCUAAAUAAAUAGAAUUUUCACCUGAACAAUAUAAACCACAAAAUUGAUUGUGUAGAAACUUGGUUUCAGUCCAUCAGUCGAUACAGCACGUGCCUGCAAAAGCAUUAAACACAGAGACGGAAUCAAAACCAGACAGCUAAACAAACUGACAUGGAAAGAAAAUCACAGAAGACAAACAACCCCUAGGGGAGCAAAUGUACAACAAAUCAUACUUACCUGGUAAUAAAUCUCAGCCCAGAACAGGACCAAAAGGGCAUAUGUUGUAAAGAAAGCAAGACUUGGCACGUCAAGCAAGAUAUGUUGAACAAUCUACAAACACAAGGAAAUGCAGCAACUAAGUGUAAGAGUGAAUCUCAAAUUCAAUAAAUAGAAAAUAAUAAAGAGUGAGCCAUCAAUUUCGUCAUCGAAGUUUUAUUCUCUCUCCUACUUGGUCCUUAAAAUAUUGAAAGUUAUUAAGAAAUCCCUAAACAUUUGCGACAUUUGUUAUCUUAGUCCCUUUGUUAAUGAAACUGUUUUAAACAUGAGUAGAACAUGUCCCUUUUCUUUAGUGUUUAUCUCAUCUAUCCCUUUUCUACAGAAAAAAACAUCAAUUUGGUCCCUAAGAACUAGAACCAAAAGCAACAAAUAGCACCAAUUUAGUGUCCUAAACACGCAGAAUUAUGUUUAUAAAGAGAAAAGACAUUGCUUCCGUUAGGCAUUUAUAUUUGUAUAAUAUGUAUAUGCAUUUCCUGUUCGUUGACUUUCUUAUUGUUUAACAUAAAAAAUACGACUAAGCACAACUAUUUUUAGCAUAGAUAUUAAUCCAACUUUUGAUUGUCAGAAUAAUUAUGUACAAAGACCCUUAAAAAGAGACACCAAAUGAAGAAAAUAUGCAAUACUCAGACAUUGUUGUUGCUAUUUAUGUUCACAGUAAUUGGAAUUUGAGAUGGUAAGAGAAUUAUAUAAGAUGCAUACUUUUAAAACACCCUAACCUUGGAAUUAACAAAGAGGCAUACAUGUCAUAAAACUUUAAGGACUACUUAUUAUUCUUUUUAUAUUUUGAGAAUUCAGUAGGACAGAAGGUGUGAUAAUUCGAGAACUGAAUUGAUGGCUUACUCGAACAAUAAACAACUGAUCUAAUGUGAAGAAAAUGACCGAAAUUAAAGGCUACAUUCCAUUCCCUAUACCUCUGGCUUCAACCUCUGCACGUUCCUAAAGAAGAUGAAAACUACACACCGAACUGCAAAACCAAAAAUAGUGCAUAAUCCCUUAACAAAACGUUGCAUCACAUUGAUAAAAAAUCAUUUCAGAGAUAUGCAGAAGAAGAAGAAAAAAGGUUUGAACAAUACAAACCCGAAUUCACCAAAAAAUUGAGAAAGUGAAAGACCUUCUGAGUGGUCCAACCGUACUCCGGCACUCUCAAUUGUAUCCGAGCCAGUUGAACCUAAAAUUCAAUCAAAUAAAAAUUUAAAAAAGAAACUGAAUAAUUAGAGAUAAUUUUUUUAAAAAAACAAAAAACCUAAUUUGGAAUUGAAAGAGUGUGGGACGAUACCAAAGCUACGGUGGCCACGAUACCGUAGAGUACGGCGAGGGUGUAGAAGAUACGAUCCUGCCACACCGGAGAGUCGUCGAUGUCGUUCCACCAGUUGGAUGCGUCAGUAAGGUCAACCGCCGCCACGGCCAUGACCUCGGCCAUAGUCUCCGGCACGCCGUCGUUGCCCAUUCUCGAAUCGACGGCUAGUUUAUCACACGCGCCGAGAGUGAAGGAAGAAACGAUGGAGGGAAGAGAAUAAGUAGUCCGAAGAAAGCUCGUGUGAUAUUAACGAAUAAUUAAUGCGUGUGGGCGCAUCUAGGUGAGCGUGAGUGAGACGGUCAGAAUGAAGAUGGCACACAGUUCAGUAUUUAAUAUUUAAUAUUUAAUAUUCUAAGCUCAAAUUAAUUAUUUAGUUAACUUUAUAGAAAUACAUUAAAUAUCUAUUUAAUCUUUUACUUUAAAAAUGGAAGAAAACUUAUGUGUAUUUUUAAGAGGAAUGAUAUGUUAUCAUGGAUUUUUUAUAAUAUUUUGAUAUAAUAUAUAUAUAUAUAUAUAUAUAUAUAUAUAUAUAUAUAUAUAAUUUUUUCAUUAGGUUAUAUUUAGAGUAUGUUAGUACAAUAAUAAAUAAAUAAUAAAUUGGUAAAAAAAAUAGUAUACAUACUAUGUUAAAAUAUUAUCAAAAAUUAUGUGUUAAGAUAUUUUUUUCAAGUUUUUAAUCUUGUUAAAAUUUUAUAAAAAUUUUCAUCAUUUUCCUUAAACUCUUACAAACUACUAUUCUUAUCUUCAUUUAUAAGUCAAAUAAUAAAUUCAUAAAAAUGUAAUUAAUUGCAAUAAAUUUUAUUAAUCUAUAGCUAUUCUUUAUUAAUUAAACUUAUAUCAUAAAAAUAAAAUAAAAUAUAUGGUUAUUAAAAAUGUUAAAAUGCAUUAGAGAUGUGAAAAUGAGUUUGAACUUUUUAAGUUAAUUUGAUUAUAGGUUUGACUUGAGUUGGAUUGAAAAAAUUUAACUUUUAUUAAUUCAUGAUCAAAUUAAACUCGACUCAUUUAAUUAAAGGUUAAAUGAGUUCAAGUCGGAUUGAAGGUAGAUUAUCUACCACAACUUUUUCUUAUGUUUUUAUCAUUUUUUCACAAAUUAUUUUAUUAUAAUUAUUUACUAUUUAUAAUUAUGUAGGUUGAUAAUUUAAUCAUUUUAAAUAUUAUAAUGUUGUUAAAUAAUGUUUAAAUAGUUUUAAUUAUUAAUUUAUUCAUGGGUUAAAUAUGUUUUUAGUCCCUAUAUUUGGGGCGAUUUUAAUUUUAGUCCCUUUUUCAAAUUAAGGUACAAUUUAGUCCUUCAACUUUAGAAAACUCUAGUUUUAGUCUUUUUUACAAAUUUUUUUUAACUUUAUUUGUUGUUUCAAACACGUUUCAUUAUAGCAUUUGGAUUGUUUACACUGUUUGACACAAUUUUGCUUCAAUGCUAACUGAGAAACGUGCUUGAAACAACAAAUAAAAUUAAAAAAAUUUGGUAAAAAUGACUAAAACCAGAGUUUUCUAAAGUUGAAGGACUAAAUUGUACCUUAGUUUGAAAGAGGGACUAAAACCAAAAUCGCCCCAAAGUAUAGGGACUAAAAACAUAUUUAACCUUUUAUUUAUUUGUUUAACUUGACUUUUUUCAAUUUUUAUCUUUAAAUAGUAAUAAUUUUUAAUUUUAAUGUUUAAUUUAUUUAUUUGUCAAUUUAUGUAACUUGACUCUUUAAUUUUCAAUUUAUAUCUUUAAAUAGUUUUAAUGUUUAAUUUAUUUAUUUGUCAAGUUAUGUAACUUCACUUUUUAAUUUUCAAUUUCUAUCUUUAUAAUAAUGUGUGGUAUAAUAGGCGAAUACUUUGAUUGUACUGCUAUAAAAUAAUGAGUUGUAUACUUCCACUUUGAUUGUACGACAAUAAAUAUAUAAAAAAAAAAUUAAAAGAAUAAAAUAUCAUUAAGUCAAUCCACUAACUCACCAAGUUGUGGUCGAGCUUUCUGGCUUAACUAUCAGGGUUGGUCGAGCUGGUUGAGCUAACUGAGGUGUGGCUGAGUUGUCUAGGUUGUUUGGGCGAGUUGGUUGGACUGUCUAGGUUUUGGAUGUUCUGGACCAUAGUUUCAAGGUUUUAGAGCUUAGGUUUGGACGUCCUUAGGGUCAUUUAGGGUCUAGGAUGGAAAACAACCUCAACAUACUCCCCCAUCACGCAUAGCACAAUAUAAAUAUUUAUAGACCUAUAAAAUAAUAAUAUUGACAAAAAAAUGCAUAUUAGAGACAGAACGCAUUGAAACAGACAACACAACUUUAAACACAGGGGAUAACAUGGGAGACCACAUUGCAAUGAACAAGAAAGACAUUUCAACAUUGUGGGACAACCCCAAUAUUCAGUUUUGCAAAAAUGAAAUGCAUAUCACGAAAAAAAAUUACCAAAGAAUAAAUUGAAACCCCAAUACAACAUUUAGUUACUUUCGACCCGAUUCACCUCAAACCACCUCACAGUUCCAACUAAGAACAUCCAAAAGAUGACAACAAACACCUAAAUUUCUUCACUAAACCCUAAUGUCGUUCAAUCAAUCCACAAUUUCACUCAAUCAAUCUCCAAUUUGCAUCAUAACCUAAAUCCUAUUACUGAAUCCUAAUUUUGCACAAUGCAACUUCAAUGAGAACAUCCUCAAUUUGAUUUUAAUUAUAUUUUACUAUUUUUUUAAUGUUGAACGUAAAAUGCCCUUACUUUACCACAUUGUAUAAAAAAUCCAGAUCAACAUGCCAUGUCAACGUAUUUUUAAAGUUAUUCAACCAAUUUAACAAUAAGGACAUCUGUAACGAUUUAACCAAAAUUUAGAAACAAAAAUGAAUUAAUUGAAAUUAAAAGAAAAUUACAAAUACUUUUAAUUAUCUAAACUAUUGUGUAAUUGCUUUUCAAGUCAUAAUCAUGUCCUUUAAAUUCCAAUAUUUAUAGAGUAUCAUGAGUCUUAGAGAGAUUUGUUCUUCUAAAUAUUUACUCAUUAUAGGUUCUUUGAAUUGUAGUGACUUUUUCUUCUUAUUCUAUAUGAUCAAGGGAUAAUUCUGUAUCGUUUUUGUUUGUCAUUUGACUUACGUUUUUUAUCUUGUUUGUUUUUUUUCUUAUAUAUCAUUCUUUUUGUUUGGUGACAAUUGGCCCAGUAAUAAUAUGUUAUCUUGUCAUUUAUCAUCAUCAUGGUCUUAGAGACUUGAUUGAAAAGUAAUAUUAAAUUAAAACUUUAAUUAUUUAAUUUUGUAUUACAUGAAGUUUUAGAAUUGAUUGACAAAAUAUGAUAUCAAAAAUUAGAAAACUUAAACUUUAUGAUAAUUGAGGACUGAUUUGAUGUGAAAUUGUUAAUUCUUUAAUUUAGUAUAUAUUAAAGAAUUAUCAAGAAAAAUCAUAAUUAUAAAUAAAAAAUAUGUAGAUAAUAGUAAAAUUUCUUUCGUAAAAUAAUUUAAUUUGAUAAAAAAUGACGGUAAAAUAUUCACAGAUAAAAUAUUAUUCACGGAUAAAAUAUUUGUUGAUAAAUUUUACGACAGAUAAAAAAUAUUUAAUAAUGUUUAUCAGUAAUUAUCAAGAGUUAAAGUUCGUUAAUAAUUACUAAUAAAUUUUAGUCAUUAAUAAUUAUCAGAAAUUGGUUCUUUUUCUUUUUCUUCUUAGAACAUUUCAUUGAAUUUAAUUUAAUAGAAAAUUUGGUACCUAUUUUAUCAAUAAAAUUUACCAAUGAAUCUAAUACCAAUAGAAAUAUUUAUCGGUAAUAAAAGUUUUAAAAUUUGUAAAUAAAAUUCGUAAGUAGAAUUUACCUUUGAAUUUCUAGUCAGUGAAAUUUUGUCCAUAUGUACAAAAUUUCUUGUAGUAUAUACAUAAUCUCAAUUUUUAUGUGGUAUGUUUGGUUAAACAUAUCAAAAUAAAUUAAAAAUAUAUGAUUUAUUCUUUACAACUCAUAACCCCACAAGAUUAAUAAUUAAUUUUCAUAUUACAUAUUUAGUGAAUUAAUCAGACUAAUCCGUUUUAAAAAUGAUAUUAAAUUUUUUGAUAUUUCAAUAUUUUAUUAAGAUGUCUAUCAUUUUCUUUUCUAUGUUUUACUUUUUAUUAUCCAAUUUUUUAUUUAUUUAAUCUUAUAUUCCUUUUAUUAAAACUUUUAUCACUCUCAAUAUAUAUUUGAAUAUAUCUCCCAUCAGUAAACAAUAAUGAAAGCAUAUAAAAGUAAUUAUUUCUUGUGACAAGGAAAAUUCAGACUUCCCAUCAUCUAAUGAAGACUUCUAAAAAUCUGUACUUGCGACGAUUAACUACACAUAUUGAAUUGAAGCAAAGUGAAUGCAUAUAUAUAAUUACAAUGUCUUGAAGGUUUACUUAAUUACUAUUAUCACAUUUCCAUUAUCAACUCCAGAAGCUAGUAUUUGGUGUUCUCACUAUUGAUCCUCAAAACAUUGUUUAUGAAUGAUUUGCCUUGAUGCUCAGGUGAAAGGUAGCCCUUGUAGAAAUCUGCUACCCCAAUUGUUUUGAAUAAUGCUGGUGUUUCUGGAGUUACAAGAGAAGGUGCUGGACCUAUCUUUCCA